GCCGUCGCUCAACGGAUAAAAGGUACUCCGGGGAUAACAGGCUGAUACCGCCCAAGAGUUCACAUCGACGGCGGUGUUUGGCACCUCGAUGUCUGCUCAUCACAUCCUGGGGCUGAAGCCGGUCCCAAGGGUAUGGCUGUUCGCCAUUUAAAGUGGUACGCGAGCUGGGUUUAGAGCGUCGUGAGACAGUUCGGUCCCUAUCUGGUGUGGGCGUUGGAUGAUUGAUGGGAGCUGCUCCUAGUACGAGAGGACCGGAGUGGACGAACCGCUGGUGUUCGGGUUGUCAUGCCAAUGGCAUUGCCCGGUAGCUAUGUUCGGAACGGAUAACCGCUGAAAGCAUCUAAGCGGGAAGCCGGCCCAAAGAUGAGUCAUCCCUGACCUUUAAGGUCUGGAAGGGUUGUUAUAGACGAUGACGUUGAUAGGCAGGGUGUGGAAGCGUUGUAAGGCGUUAAGCUAACCUGUACUAAUUGCCCGAGAGGCUUAACCAUACAACGCCUAAGUAG
RNAcentral lists this ribosomal RNA (503 nucleotides) under Aestuariibacter sp. Its description in RNAcentral is "partial 23S ribosomal RNA". It matches the Rfam family "Bacterial large subunit ribosomal RNA", at positions 2441 to 2925 of the family's 2925-position model. The record is from RNAcentral. Lineage: Bacteria; Pseudomonadati; Pseudomonadota; Gammaproteobacteria; Alteromonadales; Alteromonadaceae.